GACGAACGCNGGCGGCGUGCCUAAUACAUGCAAGUCGAGCGUAGUUUUUCUGGUGCUUGCACUAGAAAAACUNAGCGGCGAACGGGUGAGUAACACGUAAAGAACCUGCCUCAUAGACUGGGACAACUAUUGGAAACGAUAGCUAAUACCGGAUAACAGCAUUAACUGCAUGGUUGAUGUUUAAAAGUUGGUUAUGCUAACACUAUGAGAUGGCUUUGCGGUGCAUUAGCUAGUUGGUGGGGUAAAGGCCCACCAAGGCGACGAUGCAUAGCCGACCUGAGAGGGUGAUCGGCCACACUGGGACUGAGACACGGCCCAGACUCCUACGGGAGGCAGCAGUAGGGAAUCUUCCGCAAUGGGCGAAAGCCUGACGGAGCAACGCCGCGUGAGUGAAGAAGGAUUUCGGUUCGUAAAGCUCUGUUGUUAGGGAAGAANGGAUAUGUAGUAACUAUACAUAUAAGAGACGNUNCCNANCCA
RNAcentral lists this ribosomal RNA (477 nucleotides) under uncultured bacterium. RNAcentral describes it as "bacterial SSU rRNA". It matches the Rfam family "Bacterial small subunit ribosomal RNA", at positions 28 to 485 of the family's 1533-position model. The record is from RNAcentral.